Molecule: ribosomal RNA, 573 nt
Filed under: Selenomonas sp. oral taxon H64
Lineage: Bacteria; Bacillati; Bacillota; Negativicutes; Selenomonadales; Selenomonadaceae
Description: bacterial SSU rRNA
Rfam family: Bacterial small subunit ribosomal RNA
Source: RNAcentral
GACGAACGCUGGCGGCGUGCUUAACACAUGCAAGUCGAACGAAAUUAAAAAAUUAUCAUUGAGCUCUCCGAUGAGGCGGGAGCCAAGCGUCGUGACCGCGCAGCGGGCACCACGCGUUCAACAAGUGCAACACCAAGUCGAAGGGUUGAAUGGUAAUUUUUUAAUUUAGUGGCAAACGGGUGAGUAACACGUAGACAACCUGCCGACAGGAUGGGGACAACAUUCCGAAAGGAAUGCUAAUACCGAAUGAAGCGGAGGAGAGGCAUCUCUCUUCCGUGAAAGAUGGCCUCUUUUUAUGCUAUCACCUGUUGAUGGGUCUGCGUCUGAUUAGCUAGUUGGUGAGGUAACGGCUCACCAAGGCGACGAUCAGUAGCCGGUCUGAGAGGAUGAACGGCCACAUUGGGACUGAGACACGGCCCAGACUCCUACGGGAGGCAGCAGUGGGGAAUCUUCCGCAAUGGGCGCAAGCCUGACGGAGCAACGCCGCGUGAGUGAAGAAGGUCUUCGGAUCGUAAAGCUCUGUUGACGGGGACGAACGUGCGGAGUGCGAAUAGUGCUCUGUAAUGACGUACC